AGUGAACGCUGGCGGUAGGCCUAAUACAUGCAAGUCGAACGGCAGCACAGUAAGAGCUUGCUCUUACGGGUGGCGAGUGGCGGACGGGUGAGGAAUACAUCGGAAUCUACUUUUUCGUGGGGGAUAACGUAGGGAAACUUACGCUAAUACCGCAUACGACCUACGGGUGAAAGCAGGGGAUCCUCGGACCUUGCGCGAUUGAAUGAGCCGAUGUCGGAUUAGCUAGUUGGCGGGGUAAAGGCCCACCAAGGCGACGAUCCGUAGCUGGUCUGAGAGGAUGAUCAGCCACACUGGAACUGAGACACGGUCCAGACUCCUACGGGAGGCAGCAGUGGGGAAUAUUGGACAAUGGGCGCAAGCCUGAUCCAGCCAUACCGCGUGGGUGAAGAAGGCCUUCGGGUUGUAAAGCCCUUUUGUUGGGAAAGAAAAGCAGCAGGUUAAUACCCCGCUGUUCUGACGGUACCCAAAGAAUAAGCACCGGCUAACUUCGUG
Molecule: ribosomal RNA, 492 nt
Filed under: uncultured bacterium
Lineage: Bacteria
Description: partial 16S ribosomal RNA
Rfam family: Bacterial small subunit ribosomal RNA
Source: RNAcentral